GACGAACGCUGGCGGCGUGCCUAAUACAUGCAAGUAGAACGCUGAAGGAGGAGCUUGCUUCUCUGGAUGAGUUGCGAACGGGUGAGUAACGCGUAGGUAACCUGCCUGGUAGCGGGGGAUAACUAUUGGAAACGAUAGCUAAUACCGCAUAAGAGUAGAUGUUGCAUGACAUUUGCUUAAAAGGUGCAAUUGCAUCACUACCAGAUGGACCUGCGUUGUAUUAGCUAGUUGGUGAGGUAACGGCUCACCAAGGCAACGAUACAUAGCCGACCUGAGAGGGUGAUCGGCCACACUGGGACUGAGACACGGCCCAGACUCCUACGGGAGGCAGCAGUAGGGAAUCUUCGGUAAUGGACGGAAGUCUGACCGAGCAACGCCGCGUGAGUGAAGAAGGUUUUCGGAUCGUAAAGCUCUGUUGUAAGAGAAGAACGAGUGUGAGAGUGGAAAGUUCACACUGUGACGGUAUCUUACCAGAAAGGGACGGCUAACUACGU
RNAcentral lists this ribosomal RNA (494 nucleotides) under uncultured bacterium. RNAcentral describes it as "partial 16S ribosomal RNA". It matches the Rfam family "Bacterial small subunit ribosomal RNA", at positions 28 to 506 of the family's 1533-position model. The record is from RNAcentral.